GGUAGCGUGUCCGAGCGGCCUAAGGAGCACGCCUCGAAAGCGUGUGUGGUUAACAGCCACCGUGGGUUCGAAUCCCACCGCUACCGCCG
RNAcentral lists this transfer RNA (89 nucleotides) under Saccharopolyspora erythraea NRRL 2338. RNAcentral describes it as "tRNA-Ser-CGA-1-1". It matches the Rfam family "tRNA". From Rfam's summary of the family: Transfer RNA (tRNA) molecules are approximately 80 nucleotides in length. Their secondary structure includes four short double-helical elements and three loops (D, anti-codon, and T loops). Lineage: Bacteria; Bacillati; Actinomycetota; Actinomycetes; Pseudonocardiales; Pseudonocardiaceae. RNAcentral also lists the same sequence under 1 other name. The record is from RNAcentral.